AAUCAUCAGGUGGUGAAGUCAGCCUGACUUCUGUCCUUCCCUUCAGGGUGGUAAUUAUCCAGUUGAUAUUUAUCUUGUUCCAGUCACCUUAAGAAAGCUGUUUGUAAUUAAUCAAACUCAAUAACAACACAAAAGUAACAACUCAGGUGAAAAGAAAACUCACUUAUGUCUUCAAUGUCCAAUCAACAUUGCCAAAUGGGAGAACAGUUUUGGAAAUCACUAGUGGGUAAAAAAGACCAAUUUGCAACUAGGCUGUCAUGCUCUGUUGAAAACUAUGUCACAAUAUCACAAUACUAGAUGUUGGGCUCAAGACAGCAAACAGAAAGCAGCAAGGGCAGUGACUGGAAGCUGGGAGAGAGGGUCAACAGCUGAAUCUCAGCCUGAUAGAGGCCAC
Molecule: non-coding RNA, 394 nt
Filed under: Pongo abelii (Sumatran orangutan)
Lineage: Eukaryota; Metazoa; Chordata; Mammalia; Primates; Hominidae
Source: RNAcentral